CCGUCAAAGUGGCUCGUGUUAUGU
Molecule: microRNA, 24 nt
Filed under: Caenorhabditis remanei
Lineage: Eukaryota; Metazoa; Nematoda; Chromadorea; Rhabditida; Rhabditidae
Description: crm-miR-2-5p
Gene: crm-miR-2-5p
Source: miRBase by way of RNAcentral